Molecule: ribosomal RNA, 496 nt
Filed under: uncultured bacterium
Lineage: Bacteria
Description: partial 16S ribosomal RNA
Rfam family: Bacterial small subunit ribosomal RNA
Source: RNAcentral
AUUGAACGCUGGCGGAAUGCUUUACACAUGCAAGUCGAACGGUAGAGGGGGCAACCCCUCGAGAGUGGCGAACGGGUGAGUAAUAUAUCGGAACGUGCCCAGUCGUGGGGGAUAACGUAGCGAAAGGUAGGCUAAUACCGCAUACGAUCUAAGGAUGAAAGCGGGGGAUCGCAAGACUUCGCGCGAUUGGAGCGGCCGAUAUCAGAUUAGGUAGUUGGGGGGGUAAAGGCCCACCAAGCCAACGAUCUGUAGAUGGUCUGAGAGGACGACCAGCCACACUGGAACUGAGACACGGGCCAGACUCCUACGGGAGGAAGCAGGGGGGAAUUUUGGACAGUGGACGCAAGUCUGAUCCAGCCAUUCCGCGUGCAGGAUGAAGGCCCUCGGGUUGUAAACUGCUUUUGUACGGAACGAAAAGGUCUCUCUUAAUACGGGGGGCUCAUGACGGUACCGUAAGAAUAAGCACCGGCUAACUACGUGCCAGCCGCCGCAGUAA